RNAcentral lists this ribosomal RNA (479 nucleotides) under uncultured bacterium. RNAcentral describes it as "partial 16S ribosomal RNA". It matches the Rfam family "Bacterial small subunit ribosomal RNA", at positions 28 to 507 of the family's 1533-position model. The record is from RNAcentral.
GAUGAACGCUGGCGGCGUGCUUAACACAUGCAAGUCGAGCGAGAAGUUUUGAAAAGAUUCUUCGGAUGAAAUUUAAAAUGGAAAGCGGCGGACGGGUGAGUAACGCGUAGGCAACCUGCCCCAUACAAAGGGAUAGCAUUUGGAAACGAAUAUUAAUACCUUAUGAAACUUAACUAGUGCAUGCUAGGUAGGUCAAAGAUUUAUCGGUAUGGGAUGGGCCUGCGUCUGAUUAGCUAGUUGGUGAGGUAACGGCUCACCAAGGCGACGAUCAGUAGCCGACCUGAGAGGGUGAACGGCCACAUUGGAACUGAGACACGGUCCAAACUCCUACGGGAGACAGCAGUGGGGAAUAUUGCACAAUGGGGGAAACCCUGAUGCAGCAGCGCCGCGUGAACGAUGAAGGCCUUUGGGUCGUAAAGUUCUGUUCUAGGUGAUGAAAACUGACAGUAACCUAGGAGAAAGCCCCGGCUAACUCCGUG